AGGUGGGCAGCGUGGGCACAGGAGCCGGGGCUCCUGGACUCCCGGUCCAGGGCUCGGCGUCUCUCCUAGAGUCAGCGAUUCACCGAGCUCCUGCGCGGCGCUGACAGACCCAGGCUCCUCCCCAGGCAGAGCCGCGCUCUUCCCAGAGAUCACUUCGCCUACAGGCCACGCCCGGGGUCUGUAAUGCUGUUUCGUUCCAAGGUGUUGGGAAGGAGCAUUUCCUCCCUCUCAGGAAAUGGCCGGGUGAGCUGUGGUUCUUCUAAAGGGAGCUUUCCAAGGCUGCAGCCGGGAGCACGUUAACGUGUGCUCACAUAAAUAUCCUCCAACCUUGUUGUCUCAGCAAACAACUUUUUUCUCAUAUCUAAAAAAUAGCCAUUUAAUGAGCUUUACUUUUUCAAUUAACAUGACCUUCCACCCAUGAACCACA
Suricata suricatta (meerkat) is the source of this 427-nucleotide long non-coding RNA. RefSeq lists it as uncharacterized. The record is from RefSeq and is a predicted model, not a curated record. The transcript is spliced from 2 exons. NCBI's taxonomy places the organism in Eukaryota, Metazoa, Chordata, Mammalia, Carnivora, Herpestidae.